CGGGGAUUGCCGAGCCAGGUCAAAGGCGCAGGAUUCAGGGUCCUGUCUCGAAGGAGUUCGUGGGUUCGAAUCCCACUCCCCGCAU
RNAcentral lists this transfer RNA (85 nucleotides) under Candidatus Syntropharchaeum butanivorans. RNAcentral describes it as "Candidatus Syntrophoarchaeum butanivorans tRNA-Leu". It matches the Rfam family "tRNA". From Rfam's summary of the family: Transfer RNA (tRNA) molecules are approximately 80 nucleotides in length. Their secondary structure includes four short double-helical elements and three loops (D, anti-codon, and T loops). Lineage: Archaea; Methanobacteriati; Halobacteriota; Candidatus Syntropharchaeia; Candidatus Syntropharchaeales. The record is from RNAcentral.